This 396-nucleotide ribosomal RNA is filed under the name uncultured bacterium. Its description in RNAcentral is "partial 16S ribosomal RNA". It matches the Rfam family "Bacterial small subunit ribosomal RNA", at positions 523 to 918 of the family's 1533-position model. The record is from RNAcentral.
AUACGUAGGUGGCGAGCGUUAUCCGGAUUUACUGGGUGUAAAGGGCGCGUAGGCGGGAAUGCAAGUCAGGUGUGAAAUCUAGGGGCUCAACCCCUGAACUGCACUUGAAACUGCGUUUCUUGAGUGUCGGAGAGGUUAACGGAAUUCCUAGUGUAGCGGUGAAAUGCGUAGAUAUUAGGAGGAACCCCAGUGGCGAAGGGGGUCAACUGGAUGAUAACUGACGCUGAGGCGGGAAAGCGUGGGGAGAAAACAGGAUUAGAUCCCCUGGUAGUCCACGCCGUAAACGAUGAAUACUAGGUGUGGGGGGACUGACCCCCUCCGUGCCGCAGUUAACACAAUAAGUAUUCCACCUGGGGAGUACGGCCGCAAGGUUGAAACUCAAAUGAAUUGACGGGG